CCAAGGGGAAUUGCCCCAGUAACGGCGAGUGAAGCGGCAACAGCUCAAAUUUGAAAUCUGGCCUCGGCCCGAGUUGAAAUUUGCAGAGGAUGCUUCUGGCGCGGUGCCUUCCGAGUUCCCUGGAACGGGACGCCACAGAGGGUGAGAGCCCCGUAUGGUCGGACACCAAGCCAGUGUGAAGCUCCUUCGACGAGUCGAGUAGUUUGGGAAUGCUGCUCUAAGCGGGAGGUAUACGUCUUCUAAAGCUAAAUACCGGCCAGAGACCGAUAGCGCACAAGUAGAGUGAUCGAAAGAUGAAAAGCACCUUGAAAAGGGGGUUAAACAGUACGUGAAAUUGUUGAAAGGGAAGCGCCUGUGACCAGACUUGCGCCGGGCGGAUCAUCCAGCGUUCUCGCUGGUGCACUCCGCCCGGCUCAGGCCAGCAUCGGUUCUGGCAGGGGGACAAAGGCGGCGGGAACGUGGCUCCCCCGGGAGUGUUAUAGCCCGCCGUGCAAUGCCCCUGCCGGGACCGAGGUUCGCGCAUCUGCAAGGAUGCUGGCGUAAUGGUCACCAGCGACCCGUCUUGAAACACGGAC
Molecule: ribosomal RNA, 575 nt
Filed under: Pleurostoma richardsiae
Lineage: Eukaryota; Fungi; Ascomycota; Sordariomycetes; Calosphaeriales; Pleurostomataceae
Description: eukaryotic LSU rRNA
Rfam family: Eukaryotic large subunit ribosomal RNA
Source: RNAcentral